CUUCAGUUUGUCCAUCACACCAUGGAGCCUUACCCGAGGCUCAACACCAACAGGAGUAAUUCACAGAGCAUGCAAUAUUUGCAUGGUCCUUACCCACUUUGGUUGGUCCUUACCCACCAGACAAAGGGUAAAUAAGACUUUCAGAGCUGCUUCUUGAUUUAAUGAAAGAUAAAUAAUAAAGACUCCUAUGCUUUCAAAUUUUCAUUUCUCCUAAUUAUGAGUUGCCCACAAUAUUACUGAAGAUGACUCUUCCAGGACAGUUACACUAGAUUUGUAGUAUCCUCCAUCACAAGUGAAAACCUAGAAACUGCUUUCAGAAAUGGUUGAUUAGCAAUCAAAAAAAACACCCUCUGGUCAGCUGUUGGCUAUAACUCACAGAAGGUGGGGCUCAGGCAGCUAUAAAGCCUGCUAUAUGGCAGAGGGAGCUUCUUCUGCAGGCUGGUAGAGAUGGGUGUUGGUUCUUCUCAACAGGAACAUAUUUUCCUGGGGUUCCUGCUGUGCUCCUGAUGCCCACAUUACCUGGGUGGUGAACAUACCAGAGGAAAAGGCACUGCAGAUGCUCUCAGGAAACAGAGUAAUCCAAAGCAGCAAUGAUUCCAGCUGAGGCACCCCUCGUAACCAUCAGCCAGGAACAGAAGCCGUCAUCUCUUCCCAGAGUACCUGGGGUAUCAAAGCUGUGCCACUCCGGGUGCGUGCUCCUUGCUGAAGGACCUGUGAAACUGUGCUCAAGGAGGAGCUGGGCUGGUGGUGAGUGGGUUGAGAGGAAGAUCAGGCUGACUGUCUACCAAGCUUUCAAGCCAAGAAAUCACUGUCAUCUGAUGCCCGUAAAUACCAGAUUUCUGGACACACUUAGUCUCCAAGUAAUAACCUGAAUUAAGUUCAAAACUUCCUUGGAAAUCCAAUUCAGGCAAUUUUUACUCAGAGCAACAUUGCAAAGGCUACGUCAGCUGACCUGAAAAAUCUCUCUUCCACAAUGAUUAAACGCAUCCCAGAUUGCAUAUAUUUAGCUUUUGCUGCAAGAGACAAAGCGUCUUGUUCAGAACAAGUGCAAAUCAUGUAUGGAAGGCACUCCAGCACAAAGUGAGGGUCAUCUCACUUCUACAGUACAAAGGAGAAGAAUAUUACGAAAUUUAGAGAUAUUCAAUUACUACUGGUGGAAGGCCAUGGAAGUUCAUAGAGAGCUCAGGAGGGCAAUAUGGUAUAGAAUAAGAAAUUAAGUUAGGUAUCAGCUGCAUAGAAAUGAAAAUGAACUGGACAUUCAUGUUACAGAAGAACAAAAUUACUAAUGUGAUGACCAGACAAAGAGAUCAAGAGUAAAGAGGGCAACUACCGGAAAAUUAUUUCCAGCAAUCACUGGACAAGAUGGUACUGGAGCCAUCUCAUGAUAGGAGGAUAAAGACAGGGUUUUGUUAAUCUCUCAGAGAAGAAUAUUUAGAAGACACGAUGGGCCAAUGUCAAAUUUGGUGUAAUUUUGCUGAAAUCACUUGAGAAACUCAGGAGAUGUAUGUAGUCCUGUGAGUCCAUGGUUACACGGAGGCUGAAAUCCUUUGCAAGGAUUUCUGGAGACAGGGUACAGACCUUUAUCAACUGUCACAGCCAUUCACCCUGAGCAGUGAUUAACGAUAUUGAGUUUUACAGAUAAUUUGUCUAGCAUCUUGCCAUAGUGUUGUGAUAUCAGCAAAAGUCAUUCCUUCUGUAAGGUUACAGAAAAAGUUUAGAGCUCCUUCCUAUGGAUAACACAGCCUCUUUGCCACUAACUCCCUAACUCCAGAGGAGCUAUUAUCCAGUUAUUAUCCUUACUGCAAGUUUAACUGGGCCUAAACAAUUGAACAUCCUGCUUUCCUUGUUCCCUGGCAGAACACAGUUUUAGAUCCCAGCCGUUCCCUUUCUCCUUUAUUCCUUGCAACAAAGUGAGAGUCCCAUAUCACAUAUUUUUUACACUGGAUGUUUUAGUCUUUCCUGCUUCCCUGAGGACUGAUAGAUCUUUGCAAGUGAGAUACAACAAAUGAAAUGUAAAAGUCCCUCGUGCUUUCUAAUGUAAGCUGCAGUGCAAAGAGACAGACUGAGCCUCUUCUACAUGUCCUUAAAAGAGAAGAAAAGUUGCUAUCUGGAUAGUCUUGAGUGACUAGGACUUGAGGCCGAAGAAUUACAUGAAUCUUUUUAUUAUUAUUAUUUUUUUUUCAUACAAAAAUUUUGGAGAGUGGCAUGUACAGCAAAAUAAAAGCUAAUGAGUAUUCUUCA
This 2241-nucleotide long non-coding RNA is filed under the name Anas platyrhynchos platyrhynchos (common mallard). RNAcentral describes it as "lncRNA (ENSAPLG00000019176.1)". Lineage: Eukaryota; Metazoa; Chordata; Aves; Anseriformes; Anatidae. The record is from RNAcentral.